This 305-nucleotide ribosomal RNA is filed under the name uncultured bacterium. RNAcentral's name for it is "bacterial SSU rRNA". It matches the Rfam family "Bacterial small subunit ribosomal RNA", at positions 338 to 659 of the family's 1533-position model. The record is from RNAcentral.
CCUGGGAGGCAGCAGUGGGGAAUAUUGGACAAUGGGGGGAACCCUGAUCCAGCGACGCCGCGUGAGUGAAGAAGUAUUUCGGUAUGUAAAGCUCUAUCAGCAGGGAAGAAAGAAAUGACGGUACCUGACUAAGAAGCCCCGGCUAACUACGUGCCAGCAGCCGCGGUAAUACGUAGGGGGCAAGCGUUAUCCGGAUUUACUGGGUGUAAAGGGAGCGUAGACGGCGAUGCAAGUCUGAAGUGAAAGGCGGGGGCCCAACCUCCGGACUGCUUUGGAAACUGUAUGGCUGGAGUGCAGGAGAGGUA